AUUGAACGCUGGCGGCAGGCCUAACACAUGCAAGUCGAGCGGAUGAAGGGAGCUUGCUCCUGGAUUCAGCGGCGGACGGGUGAGUAAUGCAUAGGAAUCUGCCUGGUAGUGGGGGAUAACGUCCGGAAACGGGUGCUAAUACUGCAUACGUCCUGAGGGUGAAAGUGGGGGAUCUUCGGACCUCACGCUAUCAGAUGAGCCUAGGUCGGAUUAGCUAGUUGGUGGGGUAAAGGCCUACCAAGGCGACGAUCCGUAACUGGUCUGAGAGGAUGAUCAGUCACACUGGAACUGAGACACGGUCCAGACUCCUACGGGAGGCAGCAGUGGGGAAUAUUGGACAAUGGGCGAAAGCCUGAUCCAGCCAUGCCGCGUGUGUGAAGAAGGUCUUCGGAUUGUAAAGCACUUUAAGUUGGGAGGAAGGGCAGUAAGUUAAUACCUUGCUGUUUUGACGUUACCAACAGAAUAAGCACCGGCUAACUUCGUG
This 484-nucleotide ribosomal RNA is filed under the name uncultured bacterium. RNAcentral's name for it is "partial 16S ribosomal RNA". It matches the Rfam family "Bacterial small subunit ribosomal RNA", at positions 30 to 507 of the family's 1533-position model. The record is from RNAcentral.